GCUUACCAUGCAGUCGAACGAUGAUAGCCCAGCUUGCUGGGUGGAUUAGUGGCGAACGGGUGAGUAACACGUGAGUAACCUGCCCUUAACUCUGGGAUAAGCCUGGGAAACUGGGUCUAAUACCGGAUAGGAGCGUCCACCGCAUGGUGGGUGUUGGAAAGAUUUAUCGGUUUUGGAUGGACUCGCGGCCUAUCAGCUUGUUGGUGAGGUAAUGGCUCACCAAGGCGACGACGGGUAGCCGGCCUGAGAGGGUGACCGGCCACACUGGGACUGAGACACGGCCCAGACUCCUACGGGAGGCAGCAGUGGGGAAUAUUGCACAAUGGGCGCAAGCCUGAUGCAGCGACGCCGCGUGAGGGAUGACGGCCUUCGGGUUGUAAACCUCUUUCAGUAGGGAAGAAGCGAAAGUGACGGUACCUGCAGAAGAAGCACCGGCUAACUACGUGCCAGCAGCCGCGGUAAUACGUAGGGUGCGAGCGUUAUCCGGAAUUAUUGGGCGUAAAGAGCUCGUAGGCGGUUUGUCGCGUCUGUCGUGAAAGUCCGGGGCUUAACCCCGGAUCUGCGGUGGGUACGGGCAGACUAGAGUGCAGUAGGGGAGACUGGAAUUCCUGGUGUAGCGGUGGAAUGCGCAGAUAUCAGGAGGAACACCGAUGGCGAAGGCAGGUCUCUGGGCUGUAACUGACGCUGAGGAGCGAAAGCAUGGGGAGCGAACAGGAUUAGAUACCCUGGUAGUCCAUGCCGUAAACGUUGGGCACUAGGUGUGGGGACCAUUCCACGGUUUCCGCGCCGCAGCUAACGCAUUAAGUGCCCCGCCUGGGGAGUACGGCCGCAAGGCUAAAACUCAAAGGAAUUGACGGGGGCCCGCACAAGCGGCGGAGCAUGCGGAUUAAUUCGAUGCAACGCGAAGAACCUUACCAAGGCUUGACAUGUUCUCGAUCGCCGUAGAGAUACGGUUUCCCCUUUGGGGCGGGUUCACAGGUGGUGCAUGGGUUGUCGUCAGCUCGUGUCGUGAGAUGUUGGGGUUAAGUCCCGCAA
This 1035-nucleotide ribosomal RNA is filed under the name Micrococcus endophyticus. RNAcentral describes it as "bacterial SSU rRNA". It matches the Rfam family "Bacterial small subunit ribosomal RNA", at positions 46 to 1092 of the family's 1533-position model. The record is from RNAcentral. Lineage: Bacteria; Bacillati; Actinomycetota; Actinomycetes; Micrococcales; Micrococcaceae.